Syngnathus typhle (broad-nosed pipefish) is the source of this 274-nucleotide long non-coding RNA. RefSeq lists it as uncharacterized. The record is from RefSeq and is a predicted model, not a curated record. The transcript has 2 exons. Lineage: Eukaryota; Metazoa; Chordata; Actinopteri; Syngnathiformes; Syngnathidae.
AAUCAUCCAACGUUCAGCCAAUCAAGUUACGCUCCAUUGGUCAUGUGACGUCGAAACAGGAACGUCGUGAAGUUCAAAGGUGAGCUCCGGUCAGAGCUCAGGAUGGCCCAAAACACAAAUAAUAACGCUUCGGAACUCCUGCUUAAUCAUCUUUUAGAAAGACUUCGCUCUCGAUUGGAGCAUAUUCUGGGACGCAUGCCUCUUGAUCUGGACUUCUUAGAGUUCACUUGCACACAAGAACUUGUGUUAUUAAAUGCUGUAUCCAGUCAAGUAA